RNAcentral lists this ribosomal RNA (952 nucleotides) under Escherichia coli. RNAcentral's name for it is "partial 23S ribosomal RNA". It matches the Rfam family "Bacterial large subunit ribosomal RNA", at positions 1 to 984 of the family's 2925-position model. The record is from RNAcentral. Lineage: Bacteria; Pseudomonadati; Pseudomonadota; Gammaproteobacteria; Enterobacterales; Enterobacteriaceae.
GGGUUGUGAGGUUAAGCGACUAAGCGUACACGGUGGAUGCCCUGGCAGUCAGAGGCGAUGAAGGACGUGCUAAUCUGCGAUAAGCGUCGGUAAGGUGAUAUGAACCGUUAUAACCGGCGAUUUCCGAAUGGGGAAACCCAGUGUGUUUCGACACACUAUCAUUAACUGAAUCCAUAGGUUAAUGAGGCGAACCGGGGGAACUGAAACAUCUAAGUACCCCGAGGAAAAGAAAUCAACCGAGAUUCCCCCAGUAGCGGCGAGCGAACGGGGAGGAGCCCAGAGCCUGAAUCAGUGUGUGUGUUAGUGGAAGCGUCUGGAAAGGCGCGCGAUACAGGGUGACAGCCCCGUACACAAAAAUGCACAUGCUGUGAGCUCGAUGAGUAGGGCGGGACACGUGGUAUCCUGUCUGAAUAUGGGGGGACCAUCCUCCAAGGCUAAAUACUCCUGACUGACCGAUAGUGAACCAGUACCGUGAGGGAAAGGCGAAAAGAACCCCGGCGAGGGGAGUGAAAAAGAACCUGAAACCGUGUACGUACAAGCAGUGGGAGCACGCUUAGGCGUGUGACUGCGUACCUUUUGUAUAAUGGGUCAGCGACUUAUAUUCUGUAGCAAGGUUAACCGAAUAGGGGAGCCGAAGGGAAACCGAGUCUUAACUGGGCGUUAAGUUGCAGGGUAUAGACCCGAAACCCGGUGAUCUAGCCAUGGGCAGGUUGAAGGUUGGGUAACACUAACUGGAGGACCGAACCGACUAAUGUUGAAAAAUUAGCGGAUGACUUGUGGCUGGGGGUGAAAGGCCAAUCAAACCGGGAGAUAGCUGGUUCUCCCCGAAAGCUAUUUAGGUAGCGCCUCGUGAAUUCAUCUCCGGGGGUAGAGCACUGUUUCGGCAAGGGGGUCAUCCCGACUUACCAACCCGAUGCAAACUGCGAAUACCGGAGAAUGUUAUCACGGGAGA